Molecule: microRNA precursor, 64 nt
Filed under: Ictalurus punctatus (channel catfish)
Lineage: Eukaryota; Metazoa; Chordata; Actinopteri; Siluriformes; Ictaluridae
Description: microRNA ipu-mir-221 precursor (ipu-mir-221-2)
Gene: ipu-mir-221-2
Rfam family: mir-221 microRNA precursor family
Source: miRBase by way of RNAcentral
CCCUGGCACACAGUGUAUUGGUCUGUGUGUGUGUGUGUCUACAGCUACAUUGUCUGCUGGGUUU